This 497-nucleotide ribosomal RNA is filed under the name uncultured bacterium. Its description in RNAcentral is "partial 16S ribosomal RNA". It matches the Rfam family "Bacterial small subunit ribosomal RNA", at positions 28 to 507 of the family's 1533-position model. The record is from RNAcentral.
GAUGAACGCUGGCGGUGUGCCUAACACAUGCAAGUCGAACGAACAGACGAUGAGCUUUCGCCCUUACCGGUAGCGAGUGGCGGGCGAGUAACGCGUACAUCACCUACCUCUUUGUCUGGGAUGACUUCGGAAAACCGCUUCUACUACUACAUCAUAUAUUGUACCGCAGGGAUCAAUAGUUAAUGACGGCUUUCGCGUCACAUAUAGAUGAAUCCGCGCCGCAUUAGCUAGUUGGUAAGGUAACGGCUUACCAAGGCAACGAUGCGUAGCCGACCUGAGAGGAUGAUCGGCCACACUGGAACUGAGACACGGUCCAGACUCCUACGGGAGGCAGCAGUAGGGAAUCUUCGGCAAUGGGCGAAAGCCUGACGGAGCAAUGCCGCGUGAGUGAUGAAGGCCUUCGGGUCGUAAAGCUCUGUUAUUGGGAAAGAACAAAUGUGUAAUUAACUAUGCACGUCUUGACGGUACCUAAUCAGAAAGCAACGGCUAACUUCGUG